GAUUUAGAUCAGUACAGACCUCUCCCAGUCUCUUUCUCAAGCUGUGCAUUGGGCACAGCAGCCCCAGCUUUAAACAUUUCCUAACCAGACCAUCUACCGGGGGCACAGCAGCCCCAGCUCUGAAGGUUUCCCAGCCAGACCAUCUCCUGGGGGCACAGCAGCCCUAGCUCUGAAGGUUUCCCAGCCAGACCAUCUCCUGGGGGCGCCUGGGGCUUUGGGAACCUCCCCCACACAAAAACAGCGUGAUCCUCCCCCAACCCUGCUGGUCACUGGACCGGUUCUCUACUCUGCACUCAGGUAGGGGACAUCCUCAUAAAACCCCCCAGAUCCCGCUCCCACAGCUCUGCAGGUUAAAAAGCCCAAACUAGGGCUGGGCCUGGUGGCUCACACCUGUAAUCCCAGCACUUUGGGAGGCCAAGGCAGGUGGAUCACUUGAGGUCAGGAGUUCGAAACCAGCCUGGCCAACAUGGUGAAACCCCGCCUCUAUUAAAAAUACAAAACAAUUAGCCGGACAUGGUGGCAGGCAUCUGUAAUCCCAGCUACUCGGGAGGCUGAGGCAGGAGAAUAGCUUGAACCUGGGAGGCGGAGGUUGCAAUGAGCCAAGAUCACACCACUGCACACCAGCCUGGGAGACAGAAGGAGACUCUGUCUCAAAAAAAAAAAAAAA
RNAcentral lists this long non-coding RNA (667 nucleotides) under Homo sapiens (human). RNAcentral describes it as "HSALNT0254132". Lineage: Eukaryota; Metazoa; Chordata; Mammalia; Primates; Hominidae. The record is from RNAcentral.